UACGUAGGGUGCGAGCGUUAAUCGGAUUUACUGGGCGUAAAGCGUGCGCAGGCGGCCCGUUAAGACAGGUGUGAAAUCCCUGGGCUCAACCUAGGAAUUGCGCUUGUAACUGGCGGGCUCGAGUACGGUAGAGGGGGGUGGAAUUCCUGGUGUAGCAGUGAAAUGCGUAGAGAUCAGGAGGAACACCGAUGGCGAAGGCAGCGCCCUGGGCCUGUACUGACGCUCAUGCACGAAAGCGUGGGGAGCAAACAGG
This 253-nucleotide ribosomal RNA is filed under the name uncultured microorganism. RNAcentral's name for it is "partial 16S ribosomal RNA". It matches the Rfam family "Bacterial small subunit ribosomal RNA", at positions 524 to 776 of the family's 1533-position model. The record is from RNAcentral.